GUGUGUGAGGCCUGUAGCUUUACUCAGAAACCAAUCCCAUGGUUCUUUGUUUAGCCUCACUUUUCUUUGUUGUUUGCUUGCUUUCUGUGUUUUGGGGUGGGGAUCUCAGUGAGGAGCCUAGGCUGUCAUAGAAGUCAGUAACCCAGCCCUUCUUUCUAGAAGGUGGAUGUUUUAUGUCACCCUGCCUCAGCUUGCAUUGCUGGGAUCAAAAGCAUGAGUCUGCAAGCCUGCUCAAAGGUUUUCAUUGAUUUCCUUUUAGGAAUUGCAUCCUAAUGCCUUUAUUUAUUUAUUUUAUGUAUAUGAGUGCUGUAUCUGCAUGCCUACAUGCCAGUAGAGGGCAACAGAUCCUAAUGAAGAUGUUUGUGAGCCAUCAUGUAGUUGCUGGAAAUUGAACUCAGGACCUCUGGAAAAGCAGACAGUGCUUUUAAUGGCUGACUUCUCUCUCUCCAGCCCCUAAAAAAGAUUUUAAUUAGAAAUGAACUUAGAAUAUAAACUUGGCAGUCAGAAUGCUGGGAUCUUACCCAUGGCUAUAUUAUUUAACAAUUUAUCUUGUCUCAGCUUUUUUUUUUUCUCAGUUGUAAAACAAGGAUAACUGUUGUGUUAGUAAGCUAGUGAGCUAUCUGCCAGAGCCACAAACUACUAUGAAAAUCAACUUAAAAAGAGAAAGGUUUAUUUGGGAAUUUUGGAGUUUUCAGCACGUGGUUAGUUGGCCUGUAGACUAAAAUGAUUAUUAAUAUGGCAAUUAUUCCUUAACCAGAUUUUCCCCAAAUAACCACACAGAGACCUUUUCAUAUUUAAAAGCUUAGGUCUUAUCUGGGCAGGCUUUCAUCUAAGUUAACUUGACCACCUAGCCCCAUCCAGCCAUGUGGCUAGCUAGCCAUACCUUCCAGGCCUGUGGUCACAUGGGUCUCCUCUCAUAACUCCUAGCAAAGGCUCUCCUCGUCCUAUCCAGGGUACUUUUCUUCCACUUCCUGCCCAGCUAAUUGGCCGUCAUAUUUUUUAUUAGCCAACAGUUUCUUGUAUAUAUUGAUUGCUUUGAUAAUAGUGUUUUGUCAUAGCACUGAAAAAGUAACUUCAGUCUAGGCAUCAUACCUUUUACACUUGGGAGGCUAGAGGACAGUUACCUACUAUAGCAGUUACCUCAUAAGAUUGCUGUGAGUAAUAUGAAUAUAUAUAUAUACACACACACACACGUAAAACAAACUCACUCAUUUAAUAAGCACCACGUGUUAGUUAAUGCUUUUCUUUCUUUCUUUCUUUCUUUUUUUUUUUUUUUUUUUGAGACAGGGUUUCUCUGUGUAGCCCUGGCUGUCCUGGAACUCACUCUGUAGAGCAGGCUGGCUUCGAACUCAGAAAUCCACCUGCCUCUGUCUCCCUGCAGAGAUUAAAGGCAUACGCCACUACUGCCCUACUAUUUUCUUAACUAGUAGAAAAAAUCCCCUUGCUUAUCUUUCAUCACUCUAUCUCAUACAUUUGGACAUUAGGGAUUUUUGUUUGUCUUGUUUUUAGUUUGUUUUUUUAUUUUUUUAAUUUUAGUUGCUGAUCUUGACAUUAUAGAUUGAUUGAUAUAGUGAGAAAGAAUAGAAAAGAGUGUUAUGAUUUCUUUGUGCUUUGUAAUCUGUAAAUUGAUUUUUCUUUUUGCCAUUAUAAAAUACGUUGAAUAUUUGAGGAACUCCAGAUAUUCUGGUUCUGUGACUCAGAGCAAGCCAUUAGGGAGAUUGGAAUUGGAGCUUGGGACUUAAUUGAUUGUCACAGCUUUCUUCAGCACUUUUCUUUUGUCCUCCUGUGCAUUGUUCCGUAUUUUCCCUUUUUUUUUCUACAACCCUCCAAAAGGAGGAGGGGCACUAUAGAAGAGAAGGAAACAGGCAGUUAUAGGCAUUGUUCAUUGAUAAGGCAGUACUGUGGGAGGGCAGAAGGGGAGGCUACGCUUUGGAAGGACCCAGACUUAAGGACACAACAGGGACAUCAUUCAGUGGUAAGUGUCAGGAUGCUGCAGCUGUUUGAUUCUACACAACUCUCUCUUUCCCCUAGUAGUUUUUCCAGUUGUCGAACAUAGUACAGUGGUCUCCUCUUAUCCACGGUUUCCUUUUCCUUGGUUUCAGUUGCCCAUGGUCAAUCACAGUCUGAAAAAACAUCAAAUGGAAAAAAAUCCCAACAAUAAGCAAGUCAUGGUUUUAAAUUGCACUCCAUUCUCAGUUGUAAGGUAUACUCUUGGCAGACACUGUCUCUAUCCAGCCUUGUGUGCUCCCUCCCCAAACGAGAUGGAGUCAUUCUGUAUGUCCCCAAGCCUGGUUGUUCCUGGCUUUUUAUAUGACUGUCUCACUAGUCACUUGCCUUGAUUAUGAGAGUGAUUGCUGUGCUUUUAACAUUUCUUGUGCAGUUUUAUUUAAUAAUGACCCCAAGGUUCAAGACUGGUGAUGCUGUUGAUCUGAGCUUGUUAUAAGAGAAAAGGUCAGAGUUCUUUAGUUAUAAAGAGAAAAAUAUAGUCAUGCGCCAAGCUUGCCACAAUCUAUAGUAAGAAUCAAAAUCUGAAGACAGAUUUGUUGGCAAUAUAAAACUGUAAAAGUUAUAGCCACAGUGAUAUAUAUAUAUAUACAUAUACACAUACAUACAUACAUAUAUAUGAAUGAUUACAUAUAUUGUUAUAUGUAAUCAACUUAGAAAAGGCAUUAAAUUACAGGGUUAUGUCCACUGGCAUUUUGGAACGUUGUGGGUAAGUGAAAGACUACUAUUUUUCUCAAACUUGCUAGGGACAUAUUUCAUGAAAUAUAAGUUUCCAAAUUUGGAACAGUUGAUGAAGUAUAAAAAAAAC
This 2812-nucleotide long non-coding RNA is filed under the name Mus musculus (house mouse). Its description in RNAcentral is "long non-coding RNA chr9:80074815-80077627". The record is from RNAcentral. Lineage: Eukaryota; Metazoa; Chordata; Mammalia; Rodentia; Muridae.